RNAcentral lists this ribosomal RNA (369 nucleotides) under Elmantis trincomaliae. RNAcentral's name for it is "partial 12S ribosomal RNA". Lineage: Eukaryota; Metazoa; Arthropoda; Insecta; Mantodea; Gonypetidae. The record is from RNAcentral.
AUACCCUAUUAUUUUUAAUGUAAAAUUGGAGCUUGAGUAUUAAUAGCUAUGAUCUUUAAACUUAAAGAAUUUGGCGGUAUUAUAGUCUAUUUAGAGGAAUCUGUUAUGUAAUCGAUAGUCCCCGUUGAACCUUACUUUCUUUAAUUCUUGUAUAUCGCUGUUUGUGAAGAUAUUUUUAGAUUAUUUUCUAGAUCAAUUAUUAUUAAAAAUUUCAAGUCAAGGUGCAGUAAUAUGAAAGUUUAUCGAUGGAUUACAAUAAAUUUUAUUUAAAUGGAUAAUUAUUUAAAAUUAAUUUGAAGGUGGAUUUAAUUGUAAUUUUAUGAAGAUUGUUAUUGUGAUUAAUAGCUCUAUAGUAUGUACACAUCGCCC